Molecule: ribosomal RNA, 95 nt
Filed under: Listeria monocytogenes
Lineage: Bacteria; Bacillati; Bacillota; Bacilli; Caryophanales; Listeriaceae
Source: RNAcentral
UGUGGUGGCGAUAGCAAGAAGGAUACACCUGUAACCAUGCCGAACACAGAAGUUAAGCUUCUUAGCGCCGAUUGUAGUGAAGGGUUUCCCUUUGU